GUAACAAAGUAGACGUAUUGGAAAAUGCGUCUGGCACAACAU
RNAcentral lists this ribosomal RNA (42 nucleotides) under Meridiastra oriens. RNAcentral's name for it is "partial 12S ribosomal RNA". Lineage: Eukaryota; Metazoa; Echinodermata; Asteroidea; Valvatida; Asterinidae. The record is from RNAcentral. RNAcentral also lists the same sequence under 1 other name.